RNAcentral lists this ribosomal RNA (494 nucleotides) under uncultured bacterium. RNAcentral's name for it is "partial 16S ribosomal RNA". It matches the Rfam family "Bacterial small subunit ribosomal RNA", at positions 28 to 507 of the family's 1533-position model. The record is from RNAcentral.
GACGAACGCUGGCGGCGUGCUUAACACAUGCAAGUCGAACGGUUAAGCGCCUCCCUUUUUGGUGGGUGUGGGUGAGCGGCGAACUGGUGAGUAACACGUUAGUAACCUGCCCCCUUCUUCUGGAUAACCGCAUGAAAGUGUCGCCAAUACGGGAUAUUCUGGGUCUGUCGCAUGAUGGGUCUGGGAAAGAUCUUGUUUCGGUGGGGGAUGGGCUCGCGGCCUAUCGGCUUGUUGGUGGGGUGAUGGCCUACCGAGGCGGUGACGGGUAGCCGGCCUGGGAGGGUGGGCGACCACAGAGGGACGAAGACGCCGCGCAGACUCCUACAGGAAGCAGCGGGGAAGAUUAGUGCACGGUGGGAGGAAGCCUGAAGCAGCGACGCGGCGUGAGAGAUGGAGGCCUGCGGGUUGAGAACCUCUUUCGCGAGGGAAGCAGAGCUGCCUCGUUUGUGGGUGGGUUGACGGUAGCUGGAUAAGAAGCGCCGGCUAACUACGUG